RNAcentral lists this long non-coding RNA (802 nucleotides) under Helianthus annuus (common sunflower). RNAcentral describes it as "hypothetical non coding rna". Lineage: Eukaryota; Viridiplantae; Streptophyta; Magnoliopsida; Asterales; Asteraceae. The record is from RNAcentral.
AUGUGUCAAUAUCCUUUUGCGAGUGCUGAUAUCGUAACAAACGGAGCAAAUACCGAUUGGAUUCACACCAUUCACGUUAUCACUGCGUCUAUGUUUCUAAUUAAAAUUUGUUAAAAGUCAGGUCGCCCCGCCACGGAGUGCGGGUGCAACCAACUAGUUUCAAUUAAGUAUCAAAAUAGGUUCACCCACUAUAUAUGUUUAUAUGAGUGCUAGUGGCAUUGGAGGUGGGCGUGAUGGUGGUGACAUAGGUGGUGUUGACGGCAACAGAUAGGUGGUGGUUGGUGGGGCUGGCCUAUUUGAACACGUUUUAAGUUAGCAGUUACACAAGAGUGACUCAUUUUGAUCCGUUGUAGAGUAGACAUCAAGCAAACAAACAUGGCUUAAAUCAUCUACUUUCUUAAAUGACGUGUCAUGAUUGCGAGGGGUAGCAUUAGUGAUGCGGACCCAAGUGUGGAGGAGCGGGCCAUCUUGUACUUGGAGGCCCAAGAUCGUGUAACAAAAGGGGCUUCACUAAAAUGGCUCUAACUUGGGUUACGGGGGUCCGUUUUGGGCGUGCGACCAGGCGAAACGAACGUGAGAACGAGCUCCAUCUUGCUGCAAAUUGCCUACGGCGGUUUGGGUCAUCGUCCGGGCCAAAAAACGCUUAUUUCAAUUAGUUAUUUACGUUUUUAUGUUUUUUGGAGUGUUUUGGGCAUUUUGUUUUUGGGCUUGUGUUUGGCCCAUUGUCUUUUUGAGGCCCAUUCCGAAUUUCUUUCCUAUUUAUAUUUGUCUCUAGUAAUGUGAAAGAUGAGACUUGAAUUUU